Molecule: ribosomal RNA, 1459 nt
Filed under: Triticum aestivum (bread wheat)
Lineage: Eukaryota; Viridiplantae; Streptophyta; Magnoliopsida; Poales; Poaceae
Description: partial small subunit ribosomal RNA
Source: RNAcentral
CUCCGGCCGCCACCCCGUGCCCCACCUUCUCCCAUGGCAGCAGUCGCCGCCCCUCCCCCACCAUCUCAUGCCCCCUGGGCCGCUCACCAUCCCGUAUCCUCAGCGUGCCGGCCUCCACGAUCCCCAGCGCGCCAACCUCCAGUUCUUCACCUACCCCAUCGUGACGCCACCCAAUCUUCUUCCUCCUGGAUUCUCCUAGCCAUGGCGAGUGCCUCCUCCCUGCGCCAAGCUCGCUCUAGACUACGCAGAGCCACCAACUCCCACCGCCUCACGUGCAGUACAACCCCACCCAUGUACGAGGUUCAAAGACCUUGCAGAGAGAAGGAAAUGAUAUGUUAAGGUCAGCAGCUUCCUCGUCGCCAUCCCGGUCGUGGCUUUUCUGUGGCACGCCUCCCACUGCUUCUCCUUGCUGGACUAGUCAACCUACAAGAGAUCAACUCAAACAAAAAGUACUCAAGGUGGACUUAAGCUGAACUGGUGAUGGUCUUAGAAACUGCAUGUUUGAAAGUGGCCAAGCUCUGAACAGCAGGAGAAAAAUAAAGAAAGUUCAAGUAAAAUCUCAAAUAAAAAUUAUGUUCAAGUUGAAGCCCAGGAGUAUAUACAUAUGGAGCGGACAUGGCAAUCGAUCUUGUUGAUGAUUAUCAAUAAAUAGAUGGUGAAGUUGGCAAACGGCUGAAUCAGAUGGUGCCUACCCCUAAAAAUUAUCAGUUACAAGUAUCUGCAUUUUGUCGAAAGUUCUUCGGUAUAGCCCCCUCUCCAUCAAAGUAGAAGAGUGAUCGUGGCAUGUGUUCGUUCAAUAAGGGCUUUGGUGACGGUCCGCUGCUGGUGGCCGCCUCACCGUGGUUAAGUUUGGCGUAGUCGCAUGUGUCGCUUUCUGUUGUGGCCGGUCUCCAGGUUAGAAAAAGGUUUCACUUCACUUUGCUAAAGUUCAUCUAGAAUCUUGGAAUCCGAUGUGGUCUGUGGCAAGGUACAUCCAAUGACAACGAGCAGGCGGCAAGUGUACUUAUGCGCAGCGGGACGGUGGCAUGGAGCAGUUGAGUAGGUGUGCGUGGUCAUUCACUGCCUCGACACAAGGCCGUUCGACGAUGCAGCGCUCAAGCCGUUCACCCUUACCACCACAAGCUGUUCACCCUUACCACCGCAAGCCGUUCACCUCCGCCACACGAGGCCGUGCGACGACGCAGUGAUCAGACCGUUCACCUCUGCCAUAGGAGGCCGAUGCAAACACUAAGGAGUUGUGUUCUUUUUCAGUACAUGUUUUUGUGCUUUUUAGUACACCUACUUAACGAUUCUAUGUCCAAUUUUCUCUGUUUACGUGUUCUUCCUAUAGCACAAAAGGUGUUGUGUGUUAAGCCUUAAUAAGCAUUUGAGAAAAUCUUGUAUGGAUCUAAACUAGCAUAUGUUCGUUCUAUUCUUGUAAAUGAAGCUCCACUUCUGUUUUGUUUGAAGUUACUUGGCA